RNAcentral lists this ribosomal RNA (501 nucleotides) under uncultured bacterium. Its description in RNAcentral is "partial 16S ribosomal RNA". It matches the Rfam family "Bacterial small subunit ribosomal RNA", at positions 30 to 523 of the family's 1533-position model. The record is from RNAcentral.
AUUGAACGCUGGCGGCAGGCUUAACACAUGCAAGUCGAGCGGAGAGAGGUAGCUUGCUACUGAUCUUAGCGGCGGACGGGUGAGUAAUGCUUAGGAAUCUGCCUAUUAGUGGGGGACAACAUUUCGAAAGGAAUGCUAGUACCGCAUACGUCCUACGGGAGAAAGCAGGGGAUCUUCGGACCUUGCGCUAAUAGAUGAGCCUAAGUCGGAUUAGCUAGUUGGUGGGGUAAAGGCCUACCAAGGCGACGAUCUGUAGCGGGUCUGAGAGGAUGAUCCGCCACACUGGGACUGAGACACGGCCCAGACUCCUACGGGAGGCAGCAGUGGGGAAUAUUGGACAAUGGGCGCAAGCCUGAUCCAGCCAUGCCGCGUGUGUGAAGAAGGCCUUAUGGUUGUAAAGCACUUUAAGCGAGGAGGAGGCUACUUUAGAUAAUACCUAGAGAUAGUGGACGUUACUCGCAGAAUAAGCACCGGCUAACUCUGUGCCAGCAGCCGCAGUAA